GACGAACGCUGGCGGCGUGCCUAACACAUGCAAGUCGAACGGAAAUGCCCUGUCUUUGUGGGGUUGCACAGUGGGGAAAGGGGUAGUAACACGUAAGUGAACUUCCCUCGACUUUGGGAUAACCUCAAGAAACUGGGGCCAAUUCCAGAUAGGUGCUCCUGCCGCAUGGUGGGGGUUGGCAAGUUUUGGCGGUUGGGGAUGGACUCGCGGUGUAUCAGCUUGUUGGUGGGGUAGUGGCUUACCAAGGCUUUGACGGGUAGCCGGCCUGAGAGGGUGACCGGCCACAUUGGGACUGAGAUACGGCCCAGACUCCUACGGGAGGCAGCAGUGGGGAAUAUUGCACAAUGGGCGGAAGCCUGAUGCAGCAACGCCGCGUGCGGGAUGACGGCCUUCGGGUUGUAAACCGCUUUCGCCUGUGACGAAGCGUGAGUGACGGUAAUGGGUAAAGAAGCACCGGCUAACUACGUG
RNAcentral lists this ribosomal RNA (468 nucleotides) under uncultured bacterium. Its description in RNAcentral is "partial 16S ribosomal RNA". It matches the Rfam family "Bacterial small subunit ribosomal RNA", at positions 28 to 507 of the family's 1533-position model. The record is from RNAcentral.